Molecule: long non-coding RNA, 317 nt
Filed under: Phoenix dactylifera (date palm)
Lineage: Eukaryota; Viridiplantae; Streptophyta; Magnoliopsida; Arecales; Arecaceae
Description: long non-coding RNA (PDAC_LNC001383)
Source: RNAcentral
GAAAUUAGCCGACCCGACCAUAGUACGCAUCGAGUUGGCCAAAUCCCGAUCCGGGAGCCGAUCCCUACCCGACUUCCAUCCACGCUCUCCACCGCCUCCCUCUCCCCGCCCAUCCUCGCUUUCUCUUCCCAUCUUCCUCGCCACCGCCACUAUUACCGCCACCCCCUGUCCCAUCUCCAUCCUCUCCUCCGCCUCCCUCUCCGCCACCCCCUCCUCCCUUCCCGCCCACCUCUCCGUCCGGAUGGACGAUGGAGGUGGAGGCAUGGCCGCAUUUGGAGGAGCCUUUUUCAUCUCGCAGCAACUGCUGUGGCUAUGCC